RNAcentral lists this ribosomal RNA (589 nucleotides) under Brachybacterium sp. ZJ0902B3. RNAcentral's name for it is "bacterial SSU rRNA". It matches the Rfam family "Bacterial small subunit ribosomal RNA", at positions 316 to 916 of the family's 1533-position model. Lineage: Bacteria; Bacillati; Actinomycetota; Actinomycetes; Micrococcales; Dermabacteraceae. The record is from RNAcentral.
GUGGUGCGGCAGGGUCGACGAUUCUACGGGAGGCAGCAGUGGGGAAUAUUGCACAAUGGGCGCAAGCCUGAUGCAGCGACGCCGCGGGAGGGAUGACGGCCUUCGGGUUGUAAACCUCUUUCAGUAGGGAAGAAGCGAGAGUGACGGUACCUGCAGAAGAAGCGCCGGCUAACUACGUGCCAGCAGCCGCGGUAAUACGUAGGGCGCAAGCGUUGUCCGGAAUUAUUGGGCGUAAAGAGCUUGUAGGUGGCUUGUCGCGUCUGCCGUGGAAACCCGAGGCUCAACCUCGGGCGUGCGGUGGGUACGGGCAGGCUAGAGUGUGGUAGGGGAGACUGGAACUCCUGGUGUAGCGGUGAAAUGCGCAGAUAUCAGGAAGAACACCGAUGGCGAAGGCAGGUCUCUGGGCCAUUACUGACACUGAGAAGCGAAAGCAUGGGUAGCGAACAGGAUUAGAUACCCUGGUAGUCCAUGCCGUAAACGUUGGGCACUAGGUGUGGGACCUUCUAACGGGUUCCGUGCCGUGGCUAACGCAUUAAGUGCCCCGCCUGGGGAGUACGGCCGCAAGGCUAAAACUCAAAGGAAUUGACGG